Molecule: ribosomal RNA, 475 nt
Filed under: uncultured soil bacterium
Lineage: Bacteria
Description: bacterial SSU rRNA
Rfam family: Bacterial small subunit ribosomal RNA
Source: RNAcentral
AGAACGAACGUUAGCGGUGUGGAUUAGGCAUGCAAGUCGCGCGCGAAAGUCCGCAAGGACGAGUAAAGCGGCGAAAGGGUGAGUAACACGUAAUCAACCUACCCCUCAGAUCGGAAUAACCACUGGAAACGGUGGCUAAUGCUGGAUGACCCUGCGAUGAGGCAUCUCGAUGCAGGUAAACGGUGGCGCAAGCUGCUGCUGAGGGACGGGAUUGCGGGCUAUCAGCUAGUUGGUGAGGUAAUGGCUCACCAAGGCUAAUGACGGCUAGCCGAUCUGAGAGGACGACCGGCCACACUGGGACUGAGACACUGCCCAGACUCCUACGGGAGGCUGCAGUCGAGAAUCUCCGCAAUGGCGAAAGCCUGACGGAGCGACACCGCGUACAGGAUGAAGGCCUUACGGGUUGUAAACUGUUGUCACGCUAAUAGGAACCUAGUUCGUAAGUUAAUAGCUGCGAGUCUGACUAAAGCGAAGA